AUGGAGAUUAAAUUUUGCUGUCAUCAUUUUUCAAGGCAUAGGAUUUUAAAAACCAACUUGUCCACAAUUAUUUGCCAUGUUUUACAUUCCUUGUCUGAUUUAAGUGUAGCCAGUACUAGCAAAUGCUGUUUUCUUUUCCUGGAUUUGUCACCAUCAGGGAAAUCUUUUAUUUUUUCUGUCUAUUUUUGUUUGUUUGUUUGUUUGAAACAGAGGUCCAAAGAAAGUCUGUCAGAAGAGUUGGUGAAUAUGUUUCAGUGCACAAAUACCUCAAAGUAUUCAUGUGUACUCAUCAGACUGGCAUCAAUACCUGGCAGUGGCUUAUGGCACAUAUGGCAGUUCAUUUUACAGCUUCUGGAUUCCCACUGUGGGCAAACUGAAGGUUUCUUUUUUUAAAUCAGUGAAAGAGUAAAAACUGGCAUUUGAAACAAGCUAUUAUAAUGAACAAGGCAGAAAAUACAACUGUUCAAAUCUAACGGUAUAUUUAUCCUUACUUUUUUUCUUUUGUAAUUUCAUGGAAACAUAAAAUUUCAUAAUAAGUGACCAUACUGAUGUAGUUUCUUUCAUUGGAGGGUAGGUAAAGUUCAUAGAUAAUUUGCAAAGUACUUACUGACCUCUUGGGUUGCCUGUCAAAAGAGAGAAACUCUUUUAUUUCCUCUGCAAUUCUUUAGUAUUCAUUAUUCUACAUUAACUUCACAUGGGGAAAAAAAAAAAAAAAAAAAAAAAAGCAUACAGGGCAAUCCACAAAGAUACCACUAGGAGAUAUUUACUCUGCUAGCUUAAAUGGGCUGCCAGUUUUCCACCCCAUUACUUUAGUAAAUACCUGUACAAUAAUCUACUCCUACCCAGAGAAAAAUGGGAGGAACAUAGAGUGAGAGCUAACAGCAGUAGAUAACAGUGGAAACUUAUUUCAGUAGUUAUGACUCAGAAAUUUUAGUCAAGUAUGUGUCUUUUUUUUUUUUCUUUUUUUUUUUUUUUUCCAUAGAAAGUAGAGCAGCAAGCUUAAAAACAGUUUUGUGAUAUUUACUGCUAUUCGCCCUAGAGGUACUUUGCAAGAAUGAGUCAGACUGUACUUAUGCACUGAACAGAGUUAUUUCCUGAAGGUGCAUUGAUUGGCCCUACACCUGAAAGACUUUAUAAAGAAAAGCUUGUGCAGUGGACAUGAUUGAGAGGUAACAGUAAGAUGCAGAAAGAAAUAAUCUAACUUAUUAUCAGAAUGCUGAUUUAUCAGGGUACUGCAACAAAGUUGUAUGUCGAUAUUUUCAUAAAUCGAAGUUGCAAAGACAGAAACAAACACGAAAUGCAUUAUUUUAUGGUGCUACCUUUUUUUCCACAGGACUGAAUUUUACAAUAGUCAUAUGAAGUAUAAACCAAGCAGAAUGACACUUUCAGAAAUAAAUUCAGGUGAACCAAAUCCA
RNAcentral lists this long non-coding RNA (1415 nucleotides) under Anas platyrhynchos platyrhynchos (common mallard). RNAcentral's name for it is "lncRNA (ENSAPLG00000017890.1)". The record is from RNAcentral. Lineage: Eukaryota; Metazoa; Chordata; Aves; Anseriformes; Anatidae.